UGGGGAAUUUUGGACAAUGGACGCAAGUCUGAUCCAGCCAUGCCGCGUGCGGGAAGAAGGCCUUCGGGUUGUAAACCGCUUUUGUCAGGGAAGAAACGAGUUUCUCUAAUACAGAGACUUAAUGACGGUAACAGGAGAAUAAGCACCGGCUAACUACGUGCCAGCAGCCGCGGUAAUACGUAGGGUGCAAGCGUUAAUCGGAAUUACUGGGCGUAAAGCGUGCGCAGGCGGUUAUGUAAGACAGAUGUGAAAUCCCCGGGCUCAACCUGGGACCUGCAUUUGUGACUGCAUAGCUAGAGUACGGCAGAGGGGGAUGGAAUUCCGCGUGUAGCAGUGAAAUGCGUAGAUAUGCGGAGGAACACCGAUGGCGAAGGCAAUCCCCUGGGCCUGUACAGACGCUCAUGCACGAAAGCGUGGGGAGCAAACA
RNAcentral lists this ribosomal RNA (427 nucleotides) under uncultured bacterium. Its description in RNAcentral is "bacterial SSU rRNA". It matches the Rfam family "Bacterial small subunit ribosomal RNA", at positions 355 to 774 of the family's 1533-position model. The record is from RNAcentral.